This 253-nucleotide ribosomal RNA is filed under the name uncultured bacterium. Its description in RNAcentral is "partial 16S ribosomal RNA". It matches the Rfam family "Bacterial small subunit ribosomal RNA", at positions 524 to 776 of the family's 1533-position model. The record is from RNAcentral.
UACGUAGGGCGCAAGCGUUGUCCGGAAUUAUUGGGCGUAAAGCGCUCGUAGGUGGCUUGUCACGUCGGGUGUGAAAGCUUGGGGCUUAACUCCAGGUCUGCAUUCGAUACGGGCUGGCUAGAGGUAGGUAGGGGAGAACGGAAUUCCUGGUGUAGCGGUGAAAUGCGCAGAUAUCAGGAGGAACACCGGUGGCGAAGGCGGUUCUCUGGGCAUUACCUGACGCUGAGGAGCGAAAGCGUGGGGAGCGAACAGG